This 252-nucleotide ribosomal RNA is filed under the name uncultured bacterium. Its description in RNAcentral is "partial 16S ribosomal RNA". It matches the Rfam family "Bacterial small subunit ribosomal RNA", at positions 524 to 776 of the family's 1533-position model. The record is from RNAcentral.
UACGUAGGGGGCAAGCGUUGUCCGGAUUUAUUGGGCGUAAAGAGCGUGUAGGCGGCUAGGUAGGUCCGUUGUGAAAACUCGAGGCUCAACCUCGAGACGUCGAUGAAACCAUCUAGCUAGAGUCCGGAAGAGGAGAGUGGAAUUCCUGGUGUAGCGGUGAAAUGCGCAGAUAUCAGGAAGAACACCCGUGGCGAAGGCGGCUCUCUGGUACGUGACUGACGCUGAGACGCGAAAGCGUGGGGAGCGAACGGG